GCUUGGGUGUGAACGGACUGACUUGCGAUGGCUUUGAGCCAGUUUAUGAACCACUUGCGCUUGGAUCAUUGAAGGUACUUGCGUGCCUUACCGUUUACGUCCUUACAACGUCUCCCACUACAGUGGCUGGACAAUUUGGAUGCGACUUGAUUACAGUCAUAUCCAGAAUAUUCGGCAAUGAGGCGUCUACAACACUAACUCCACUACUGUGUGCACUUCAAAAUGCGCUUAACCUCGAUUGCACUGGCAUCUCAUGCUGAAAUGAUCUCAAGGAAUUGUGCUUUAAUUGGGCCAUCCGCAACAAAAUGUAGCGUGGGUGCAAGUUGAGUUAAAGAGCACCCUAAUAAGUCGACCAAGAGAACGACCACAGAUACCUACGCAUAAAUCGGCGCACGCGCUUGUUUCUUCUUUGUGGGCUUGUUGUGUUCUGCUGCACAUUGGUACGAAGGAAUCUGGCAAACGAAUGUGCACAUUGAAAACCAUUUGAGAAGCUGAUAUAAAGAGAAAGGGCAAAAUAUGACAAGAAAAGACAAUUUGUUCUACCAUUUCUAGGUCUAUUAUCCCAUUUCUACCUUU
Rhipicephalus microplus (southern cattle tick) is the source of this 576-nucleotide long non-coding RNA. The record is from RefSeq and is a predicted model, not a curated record. NCBI's taxonomy places the organism in Eukaryota, Metazoa, Arthropoda, Arachnida, Ixodida, Ixodidae.